Molecule: non-coding RNA, 71 nt
Filed under: human gut metagenome
Description: Glycine riboswitch
Rfam family: Glycine riboswitch aptamer
About the family: This family represents the bacterial glycine riboswitch.
Source: RNAcentral
GGUUCGGAAGAGACUGCGCUGCGCGCAGCGCCGAAGGGGAACGCAAAAGCUCUCAGGCAAAAGGACCGGAC